Molecule: ribosomal RNA, 254 nt
Filed under: uncultured bacterium
Lineage: Bacteria
Description: partial 16S ribosomal RNA
Rfam family: Bacterial small subunit ribosomal RNA
Source: RNAcentral
UACGUAGGGGGCGAGCGUUGUCCGAAGUUACUGGGCUUAAAGCGCGCGUAGGCGGUUUCUUAAGUCUGGGGUGAAAGGUUCAGCGCUCAACGCGAACAGUGCCUUGGAUACUGGGAGACUUGAGUCUGGGAGGGGGCAGUGGAAUUCCUGGUGUAGCGGUGAAAUGCGUAGAUAUCUGGAGGAACACCGGUGGCGAAGGCGGCAUUCUGGACCGACAUUGACGCUGAGGAGCGAAAGCCAGGGGAGCAAACGGG